Molecule: ribosomal RNA, 492 nt
Filed under: uncultured bacterium
Lineage: Bacteria
Description: partial 16S ribosomal RNA
Rfam family: Bacterial small subunit ribosomal RNA
Source: RNAcentral
AGUGAACGCUGGCGAUAGGCCUAACACAUGCAAGUCGAACGGCAGCACAGUAAGAGCUUGCUCUUACGGGUGGCGAGUGGCGGACGGGUGAGGAAUACAUCGGAAUCUACUUUUUCGUGGGGGAUAACGUAGGGAAACUUACGCUAAUACCGCAUACGACCUACGGGUGAAAGCAGGGGAUCUUCGGACCUUGCGCGAUUGAAUGAGCCGAUGUCGGAUUAGCUAGUUGGCGGGGUAAAGGCCCACCAAGGCGACGAUCCGUAGCUGGUCUGAGAGGAUGAUCAGUCACACUGGAACUGAGACACGGUCCAGACUCCUACGGGAGGCAGCAGUGGGGAAUAUUGGACAAUGGGCGCAAGCCUGAUCCAGCCAUACCGCGUGGGUGAAGAAGGCCUUCGGGUUGUAAAGCCCUUUUGUUGGGAAAGAAAAGCAGCAGGUUAAUACCCCGCUGUUCUGACGGUACCCAAAGAAUAAGCACCGGCUAACUUCGUG